CCAAACAGAGAAAAGGUCGAGCUGGAAGAGUUCAACCUGGUCAUUGCUAUCAUCUGUAUAAUGGUCUUAGAGCAAGUCUUCUAGAUGACUAUCAACUGCCAGAAAUUUUGAGAACUCCUUUGGAAGAACUUUGUUUACAAAUAAAGAUUUUAAGGCUAGGUGGAAUUGCUUAUUUUCUGAGUAGAUUAAUGGACCCACCAUCAAAUGAGGCAGUGUUACUCUCCAUAAGACACCUGAUGGAGCUGAACGCUUUGGAUAAACAAGAAGAAUUGACACCUCUUGGAGUCCACUUGGCACGAUUACCCGUUGAGCCACAUAUUGGAAAAAUGAUUCUUUUUGGAGCACUGUUCUGCUGCUUAGACCCAGUACUCACUAUUGCUGCUAGUCUCAGUUUCAAAGAUCCAUUUGUCAUUCCACUGGUAAGAAAAAUGGAAAUAAAACCGAGUUAUUUU
This 452-nucleotide non-coding RNA is filed under the name Pan troglodytes (chimpanzee). The record is from RNAcentral. RNAcentral also lists the same sequence under 1 other name. Lineage: Eukaryota; Metazoa; Chordata; Mammalia; Primates; Hominidae.